RNAcentral lists this RNase P RNA (365 nucleotides) under bacterium. Its description in RNAcentral is "RNase P RNA component class A". It matches the Rfam family "Bacterial RNase P class A". From Rfam's summary of the family: Ribonuclease P (RNase P) is a ubiquitous endoribonuclease, found in archaea, bacteria and eukarya as well as chloroplasts and mitochondria. Its best characterised activity is the generation of mature 5'-ends of tRNAs by cleaving the 5'-leader elements of precursor-tRNAs. Cellular RNase Ps are ribonucleoproteins. The record is from RNAcentral.
UACCUGCGUUAGGCAGUCGCUGGUCCGCAAGGGCUAGAGGAAAGUCCGGACACGCCCACGUUUCGUAAGAUAUGUGGAGCACGGUAGCGGGUAACGCCCGCCGGGGUAAUCCUAGGGAUGCGAACAGAGACGGUUUUUUGCGAGAGCAAAAAACCGCCCCGUGAAAUCGCGAAAGCAUAUUUCACUGGGGCGAGAUUGAGCAGUUAAAGGCUCAAGGUGCAACGGCAAAAAUCCUACCUGCGUGCAAGGUCGUAUCAAAUCGUGCCAUCGGUACGGUUAGAAGAACCGCUUGAGGUGAUUGGCAACAAUCAUCCCAGAUAAAUGACUGUCCUCGACAGAAUCCGGCUUACAAAUGCAGCGAAAUG